RNAcentral lists this ribosomal RNA (450 nucleotides) under uncultured bacterium. Its description in RNAcentral is "partial 16S ribosomal RNA". It matches the Rfam family "Bacterial small subunit ribosomal RNA", at positions 354 to 796 of the family's 1533-position model. The record is from RNAcentral.
GUGGGGAAUUUUGGACAAUGGGGGCAACCCUGAUCCAGCCAUUCCGCGUGAGUGAAGAAGGCCUUCGGGUUGUAAAGCUCUUUCGGCAGGAACGAAACGGUGAGCUCUAACAUAGCUCGCUAAUGACGGUACCUGAAGAAGAAGCACCGGCUAACUACGUGCCAGCAGCCGCGGUAAUACGUAGGGUGUGAGCGUUAAUCGGCAUUAUUGGGCGUUAAGCUUGCGCAUGCUGUUGUGUAAGACAGGUGUGAAAUCCACGGGCUUAAACUGGGAACUGCGAUUGUGACUGAAAGGCUAGAGUAUGGCAGAGGGGAGUGGAAUUCCACGUGUAGCAGUGAAAUGCGUAGAGAAGUGGAGGUACACCGAUGGCUAAGGCAGCCCCCUGAGCAAAUACUAACGCUCAUGCACGAAAGCGUGGGGAGCAAACAGGAUUAGAAACCCCGGUAGUCC